This 345-nucleotide unclassified non-coding RNA is filed under the name soil metagenome. RNAcentral describes it as "partial contains 5.8S ribosomal RNA, internal transcribed spacer 2, and large subunit ribosomal RNA". The stretch from base 1 to 120 matches the Rfam family "5.8S ribosomal RNA", at positions 35 to 154 of the family's 154-position model. The record is from RNAcentral.
GAUGAAGAACGUAGCGAAAUGCGAUACGUAAUGUGAAUUGCAGAAUUCAGUGAAUCAUCGAGUCUUUGAACGCACAUUGCGCCCCCUGGUAUUCCGGGGGGCAUGCCUGUCCGAGCGUCAUUGCUGCCCUCCAGCACGGCUUGUGUGUUGGGCCUCCGUCCUCCUCCCGGGGGACGGGCCCGAAAGGCAGCGGCGGCACCGCGUCCGGUCCUCGAGCGUAUGGGGCUUCGUCACCCGCUCUUGUAGGCCCGGCCGGCGCUUGCCGACACAUCAAUCUUUUUUCCAGGUUGACCUCGGAUCAGGUAGGGAUACCCGCUGAACUUAAGCAUAUCAAUAAGCGGAGGA